GUCGCUGUUUGUUUGCUUUAUUUAUUUAAAGUGUAUAAAAUACUUUUCCAUCUGCUACAUAAAACAUACCAAACAUCUCACUGCAUUGUAGUAAGCAAGAAAAUUCAUAGAUGCUAAGCCUACAGCAAGAAUUUUUCAAAGGCUAAAUUUCUAUGGAGAAAGGUUGUAACAAUUAUUUUAUAACAGUCUGUCAAAAAGCAAUUCAUUGCCUGGAAACAACAAUGCCCAAUAUGGUCAACUGGAAUGCUGAACUCUGAUUAGUUAUUACAAUGAUCGUUACAAUAGGAAAUAAAUUGAUACUUUCUUCAAUGCUAC
Non-coding RNA from Pelobates cultripes (western spadefoot toad), 315 nucleotides. The record is from the annotation of a GenBank genome assembly. Lineage: Eukaryota; Metazoa; Chordata; Amphibia; Anura; Pelobatidae.